RNAcentral lists this ribosomal RNA (577 nucleotides) under uncultured bacterium. RNAcentral's name for it is "bacterial SSU rRNA". It matches the Rfam family "Bacterial small subunit ribosomal RNA", at positions 338 to 916 of the family's 1533-position model. The record is from RNAcentral.
CCUACGGGAGGCAGCAGUAGGAAUAUUGGGCAAUGGACGCAAGUCUGACCCAGCCAUGCCGCGUGCAGGAUGACGGCCCUAUGGGUUGUAAACUGCUUUUCUACGGGAAGAAACACUCUGAUUAUUCGGAGCUUGACGGUACCGUAGGAAUAAGGAUCGGCUAACUCCGUGCCAGCAGCCGCGGUAAUACGGAGGAUCCAAGCGUUGUCCGGAUUCAUUGGGUUUAAAGGGUGCGUAGGCGGGCUAUUAAGUCAGAGGUGAAAUCUUGCGGCUCAACCGUAAAAUUGCCUUUGAAACUGGUAGCCUUGAAUUCGGUCGAGGUGGAUGGAAUGUGUCAUGUAGCGGUGAAAUGCUUAGAUAUGACCCAGAACACCAAUUGCGAAGGCAGUUCACUAGACCGACAUUGACGCUGAGGCACGAAAGCGUGGGUAGCGAACAGGAUUAGAUACCCUGGUAGUCCACGCCCUAAACGAUGAUUACUCGCUGUUGGCGAUAUACAGUCAGCGGCUAAGCGAAAGCGUUAAGUAAUCCACCUGGGGAGUACGAUCGCAAGGUUGAAACUCAAAGGAAUUGACGG